GCAGUGGUGGUUCAGCGGUAGAAUUCCCGCCUUCCAUGCAGGAGACUAGGUUUGAUUUCCCACCAGUGCA
RNAcentral lists this transfer RNA (70 nucleotides) under Loxodonta africana (African savanna elephant). It matches the Rfam family "tRNA". Rfam says of the family: Transfer RNA (tRNA) molecules are approximately 80 nucleotides in length. Their secondary structure includes four short double-helical elements and three loops (D, anti-codon, and T loops). Further hydrogen bonds mediate the characteristic L-shaped molecular structure. tRNAs have two regions of fundamental functional importance: the anti-codon, which is responsible for specific mRNA codon recognition, and the 3' end, to which the tRNAs corresponding amino acid is attached (by aminoacyl-tRNA synthetases). tRNAs cope with the degeneracy of the genetic code in two manners: having more than one tRNA (with a specific anti-codon) for a particular amino acid; and 'wobble' base-pairing, i.e. permitting non-standard base-pairing at the 3rd anti-codon position. Lineage: Eukaryota; Metazoa; Chordata; Mammalia; Proboscidea; Elephantidae. The record is from Rfam by way of RNAcentral.